GCGGCGGACGGGUGAGUAACACGUGGGCAACCUGCCCUGCAGACUGGGAUAACUUCCGGAAACCGGAGCUAAUACCGGAUAACACCGAAAACCGCAUGGUUUUCGGUUGAAAGGCGGCUUUUAUCUGUCACUGCAGGAUGGGCCCGCGGCGCAUUAGCUAGUUGGUGAGGUAACGGCUCACCAAGGCGACGAUGCGUAGCCGACCUGAGAGGGUGACCGGCCACACUGGGACUGAGACACGGCCCAGACUCCUACGGGAGGCAGCAGUAGGGAAUCUUCCGCAAUGGACGAAAGUCUGACGGAGCAACGCCGCGUGAGCGAAGAAGGUCUUCGGAUCGUAAAGCUCUGUUGUCAGGGAAGAACAAGUGCCGUUCGAACAGGGCGGUACCUUGACGGUACCUGACGAGGAAGCCACGGCUAACUACGUGCCAGCAGCCGCGGUAAUAC
RNAcentral lists this ribosomal RNA (447 nucleotides) under Aeribacillus sp. U22D016. Its description in RNAcentral is "bacterial SSU rRNA". It matches the Rfam family "Bacterial small subunit ribosomal RNA", at positions 95 to 526 of the family's 1533-position model. The record is from RNAcentral. Lineage: Bacteria; Bacillati; Bacillota; Bacilli; Caryophanales; Bacillaceae.